CUUUGCUAAAAGCCAAUGGAAAGGGCCCCAAACCAGGAAAAAAACCUUGUAGAAGCAACACUCUGAACUUCAUUAAGACUUGAGACCUGCCUUUCUAUCAGAUUACUUCACUCACAAGAAUUUAGGAUUGGUCACCCACAACCGUUACCCACAGAAAUCUUGAAACAGAGCAACAGCCCCAAAUCACGUCAGUAUCUGUGACUGAGAUGAAAGCAAGCCUGUGAGAAAGGAGGCUGUAUGUUUUAUUUGAACUGUCAUGGAGUACAUCUGGUCUCAAAACUAACCAACAUCCACCAGCAUCAGAACUUUAGCAGAUACAGAUUGGAAAUAUAAAACCCAUUUAAAAGAGUGAAAUGUAGAAAAAUAAUGUUUACAAAAAGAGACCUAAAAAAAAAUCAAAUACAAUUUAAGAUUAAAAUUUUGGUGGAGACUACCACAUGACUAACAGGAUUAGAAACCACGGAUCUCUGGAACUGGGAGGUCCAGCAUCAAAUCCUGGCCCUGAGUGCCUGUCACCUGUGUUUUCCCAGUGAGUCCAGGAGG
RNAcentral lists this long non-coding RNA (543 nucleotides) under Bos taurus (domestic cattle). Its description in RNAcentral is "long non-coding RNA NONBTAT019017". Lineage: Eukaryota; Metazoa; Chordata; Mammalia; Artiodactyla; Bovidae. The record is from RNAcentral.